GGUUAACCAGGUAAGGCCCGUGAUAGACCAACACGUUGAUAGGCCGGAAGUGUAAGCGUGGUAACACGUUCGGCUGACCGGUACUAAUCGGCCGAGGGCUUGAUUCC
Molecule: ribosomal RNA, 107 nt
Filed under: Actinomycetota bacterium
Lineage: Bacteria; Bacillati; Actinomycetota
Description: Actinobacteria bacterium partial 23S ribosomal RNA
Rfam family: Bacterial large subunit ribosomal RNA
Source: RNAcentral